This 6815-nucleotide long non-coding RNA is filed under the name Homo sapiens (human). Its description in RNAcentral is "non-protein coding lnc-HAO2-2:31". Lineage: Eukaryota; Metazoa; Chordata; Mammalia; Primates; Hominidae. The record is from RNAcentral.
GGACUGCAGUUCUUGCCGAGCAGGUGGGGACAGGAGCGGGGUGGGGCUUUAGUGUUUUUCCCUGGAUCCCUUGUCUGCUCAGCCUUCCUGGAAGGAGAAUUUCCUUGGGGGUUAUUAGUAGCAACGCUUUAGACUGGAAGAAAGUCAAGUAGGCUGCAUUUCUGAUCUUAGCUAUGUGAAGGCAACCUUUAAAAAGUUUGUUUAGAAACUCCCAGUUCUCUUAGAGGGUAAUAUAAGUGGUCUUUUUAGACAUGUGUGGCCUCAUUUCCCUUUUUUUUCUUUGAGACAAGGUCUCACUCUCGCCCAGGCUGGAGUGCAAUGGCGCGAUCUCGGCUCACUGCAACCUCCACCUCCCAGACUCAAGCUAUUCUCCUGCCUCAGCCUCCUGAGUAGCUGGGACCACAAGGGUGCGCCACCACGCCCGGCUAAUUUUUGUAUUUUGGUGGAGACAGGGUUUCACCAUGUUGCCCAGGCUCUCUCAAACUCCUGAGCUCAAGCCAAGCCAUCUGCCUCGGCCUCCUAAAGUGCUGGGAUUACAGGCAUGUGCCACCGCACUGGACUUAUGUGGCCUUAUUUCAUUCGUCCUGUAAACUUUGUUGAACCCUACCGUAAUGUGCUGGGCACUGAAGGUACAGAGAAAGACAUAUCUUGUCUUCAAGUUGUGUACAGUCUAAUAGAGUAGCGGAUAAAUAAAUGAUGUACACUUAAUAGGUGUUAAAGAAGCAAGCACCGCAAGUUUUAAGGAGGAGUGGUUAUGACUGUGGUGUUUCAACCUAGUCUAGGGAAGGCUGCAGGAAGGUUAUACCUGAUGGAAGAAAUUGUUUUGUUUGGGGUUAUGAGAAAGUUUAAUACAGUUUUUCUGCUUCUGUUAAUUCACCUAAAAAUCUCCCAGACAGAUAACGAGUGUUUCAGUAAAAAUAUAACUGGAAGAAAUUCAUGACAAUUCCUUUAUGUGUUUUGUUUAUAAUUCAUCCAGCUACUGAAAAUUACCAAGGAGAGGUAGGAGAUAAGAGAUGCCUAUAAAGGAGCUGAAAUCUACCAGGUCGCAAUGAUUUGUAUGACAGCUGCUAGCCCAAGAGAGAGUUCCAGAAGAGGGCUACCUAACAGGUGCUGUGGCAUUUAGAAGAGGAAUGGAGCCAUUGUCAACGCACAGCUUGCAGGGGAGCAGGAGAGUCAGUCUAAGAAGGAAAUGUGAUGAUGGAAACAGAGGUUGGAAGAUGGAAGAGGACCCAGAGUCAAGGAAUGCAGAAUCAAGGCCAUCAAGCGACAGAUGUUCUUACAAAUGGAACACCAAUUGAGUUCAACUUACAACUUCUACUGAGGACCCCUGGACCGACGUGCUGGCACUUCCCCUGGCCUAGAGAGUUCCCCUCUGAAAGACACUACAACUGCAGGGCCCCUUCUUUGCCCCUAUCCAGCAGGAAGUAGCUAGAGCGGUCAUCAGCCAAAUUCCCAACAGCAGUUGGGGUGUCCUGUUUAGAGGGGGGAUUGAGAGGUGACAGCGUGCUGGCAGCCCUCGCAACCCUCGCUUGCUCUUGGUGCCUCCUCUGCCUGGCUCCCACUUUGGCAGCACUUGAGGAGCUCUUCAGCCCACCGCUGCACUGUGGGAGCCCCUUUCUGGGCUGGCCAAGGCUGGAGCUGGCUCCCUCAGCUUGCAGGGAGGUGUGGAGGGAGAGGCAUGGGCGGGAACCAGGGCUGCGCAUGGCGCUUGCUGGCCAGUGAGAGUUCCGGGUGGGCGUGGGCUCGGCGGGUCCCCGCACUCAGAGCAGCCAGCUGGCCCCGCCUGCCCCGGGCAGUGAGGGGCUUAGCACCUGUGCCAGCAGCUGCUGUGCUCUACUUCUCGCCGGGCCUUAGCUGCCUCCCCGUGGGGCAGGGCUUGGGACCUGCAGCCCACCAUGCCUGAGCCUCCCUCGCCUCUGUGGGCUUCUGUGUGGCCCGAGCCCCCCCGACGAGCACCACCCUCUGCUCCAUGGCGCCCAGUCCCAUCGACCACCCAAGGGCUGAGGAGUGCGGUUACACAGCGUGGGACUGACAGGCAGCUCCACCUGCGGCCCUGGUGCAGGAUCCACUGGGUGAAGCCAGCUGGGCUCCUGACUCUGGUGGGGAGUUGGAGAACCUUUAUGUCUAGCUAAGGGAUUGUAAAUACACCAAUAGGCACUCUGUAUCUAGCUCAAGGUUUGUAAACACACCAAUCAGCACCCUGUGUCUAGCUCAGGGUUUGUGAAUGUAACAAUUGACACUAUGUAUCCAGCUACUCUGGUGGGGACUUGGAGAACCUUUGUAUCUAGCUAGGGGAUUGUAAAUACACCAAUCGGCAUUCUGUAUCUAGCUCAAGGUUUGUAAACACACCAAUCAGCACCCUGUGUCUAGCUCAGGGUUUGUGAAUACACCAAUUGACACUGUGUAUCUAGCUACUCUAGUGGGGACGUGGAGAACCUUUGUGUCUAGCUCAGGGAUUGUAAACGCACCAAUCAGUGCCCUGUCAAAACAGACCACUCGGCUCUCUGUAAAAUGGACCAAUCAGCAGGAUGUGGGUGGGGCCAGAUAAGAGAAUAAAAGCAGGCUGCCCCAGCCAGCAGUGGCAACCCGCUUGGGUCCCCUUCCACACUGUGGAAGCUUUGUUCUUUUGCUCUUUGCAGUAAGUCUUGCUGCUGCUCACUCUUUGGGUCCACACUGCCUUUAUGAGCUGUAACACUCACGGCGAAGGUCUGCAGCUUUACUCCUGAAGCCAGCAAGACCACAAACCCACCGGGAGGAACAAACACCUCCAGAUGCACUGCCUUAAGAGCUGUAACACUCACCGCAAAGGUCCGCAGCUUCACUCCUGAGCCAGCGAGACCAUGAACCCCACCAGAAGGAAGAAACUCCAAACACAUCCAAACAUCAGAAGGAACAAACUCUGGACACGCUGCCUUUAAGAACUGUAACACUCACCGCGAGGGUCUGCGGCUUCAUUCUUGAAGUCAGUGAGACCAAGAACCCACCAACCAGACACAUUAGGACCCCUCGGAUAGUGACAGAUCUGGAGGACGGUUGUCUGGGACAGGAGAGUAAGACUGAGAAGGCCACGUCAAUGUCCAGGAGACAGUUAAUCUCCUGGCCCUCAAUGAUCAAGCAUACCUGGGGCUCUGUGAGGGUGAUGGCAUGGGCUGGCACUUGCCCUGGGCACCCUCAGUCCUGCUGCUGGAUCAUCGGGUUAGUGGCUUCUGACUCAGAGGACCUUUGUCCCCUGGGGCAGCGGCCUUCCAUUGAGUCCCUUGACAUAAGGGGCACGGAUGAGGAGGCGGCUUACUUCUAUUCUGACAAUCUUUUUAAAAGUGUCCUUGUAGACCACACUGGAAGCAAGUCCUAUUAGGCAUUCAAUUUGCCCAGACUUUCCGUGUUCCAAAGCCUCCAAUGUCUGCUUGCCUAAGGGCCAUGACUAAAGCGGUGGCCUUUUUCUUAUCUCAUUUGUCCCCUUCCUCCUGCUCCUCCUGAUCUCUAUUAUAAAAAACCGAGGUUGUGAAAUCAAUAGGGUUCCUAAGUUUUGCUCCGGGCCUAAGGUGGACUUUUGAUGUUUUUUCUAAUGUCUGCAGCUAACUGAGUGAUAAACUUAUCCUUUAAGAUUAGUUGGCCUUCAAUAGAGUCCGGUGACAGAGUGGUAUGCUUCCUCAAUGCCUCCCUUAGUCUCUCCAGAAAGGCAGUAGGAUUUUCUUCCUUUCCCUGUGUGAUAGUGGACACCAUUGAAUAAUGUAUAGGCUUCUUCCUACUUUUCCUUAGUCCUUCUAGCAUGCAAGUUAGUAAAUGUCUGUGGCACCAAUCUCCAUGUAUUCUGCGUCCCAGUGAGGGUCUACACUGGGCUUUUUGAUUCUGUAAGUACUUUAAGGGUUGGCCGAGUGCAAACAGCUCCCAUGUUUGAGCAGACCAAUUAUUAGGCAAUUUUCCUAACUCUGCUUCCGCAAGAGUCUCCCUAUCAAUUACUGCAUACCCAUUGUGUUUUUUUUUUUUCCCUCAGUCACCCGGGAGGAACCAUCUAUCAUCCUGCCUUGAAGGUAGUUUCUGCUGGAUCUGGUCAGACCUUUGUAUGCUUUUAAAGAAAUAGGGUACACUUUUUUCUUUACUACUUCUAUCUUUCUCUUUCUCUCUUUCUUUCUCCUUUCUGUCUUUGUAGAUGGAUUUUGGAAACCCAGUGGAAGGAUGUUCGCUCAUUGCCCCCAUUUGCCACUAUAGGACUAUGCGCCUCCCUUUUAUUUACUCAAUUUGCUUUUAUCCUGAUCUAUUAUGUUGUUGUAGACCCAGUUCCAGUUGUUACAAUACUGGGUUAUCAGUUCUAAGGCCCUGGCAAGGGUGGUGUGGAACAGGUCCCACAUAACUGCCCAUGUCGAGAGCUCUAAGCCUAAAUUGGGAGGGACACCAGGGACAAGACUCCUGGGUUCAUAGCCUAGGGGCCUAAGGUCGCAGCAUAGAGCUUCCUUAGAUCCCUUUGGAGAUACUAAUACUUGGGAGAGGAAGUGAAAGUCUGAAGCAUUAGUAUCUAGGAGGCAGGGAUCAGAGGAAGUAGAUUCAGAGGUAAGGAGAAUUUUGGGGCUACACUUUCAAGAAAGUUGUGGUCAGGACCCAGGAGGUAUGGGUCAGAAGGAAAGGUAGAGGCACACGCACGGGUGACUGUUGAGUAGGGACUUCUGGCUGCGCCAUGAUCUCAACCGGCUAAUGCCGAGAGUUUGGGAUGACAGCUUUCUGCCUCUAGUCGGCCCCCGGCUUCCCCAGGGAAAUUGAAAGUGGAAGCUGGUUCCAGGUAGACCAGCGCUUCCAACCCAGAAGCGUUGGGGGUUGUUAGAAAGCCAUUCCCCAGACAGCCUCACACUUGAGUCUUAAGUCUGGUGGCCGCCCUAUCGUUUUUAACCGUCCGACAGGUGCCUGGUAUUUUCCUCCAAUUCUAAGGAAGGGUAGAACAGAAUAGCAAGCGAAAGCGCUUUGGAGGUCCCUUCAUGAUUGCCAAAAUGUUACCAGGGAGUCCUUGUUCUUAGAGCUCCAAAGAUGAUGGUGGGCCGCUUCCAUGAUGGCGGCAAGCCUCUUGUUCUCUGACCUGGGGUUCCUGGCCUCACGGAUACUAAGGAAUGGAAUCUUGGGCCAUGCAUUGAGUGUUAUAGCUCUAUUCAGCCCAAUUAGGAUGAACCCCAGGCACUUAGCCCGCGCAGGAACAAUGGCAAGCCUCUAGCCCGAUUGGGAGCAGCAAUGGACACUGCCUCGCUGGAUCACAAGUGCAGCAGAUCCACCCCUGCCAGAUCCAGAGGGUUGGAAGUCAGCUGCGGGUCUGCAAUGACGGCAAACAGUGGUGGACGGCGAGUGAAAGCUCAGCUCGAGCCAUAAAAAACACAGACCAGAAGAGUGUGCAGUUGCAAGAUUUAAUAGAGUGAAAACAGAGCUCCCAUAAAAUGGGAGGGGACACAAAGGGGGUUGCCCUUCAUUCUGUUUUUCAUAAGGACUGUACUAAUUUACACUCCCACCAACAGUGAAUAAGGGUUCCAUUUUUUGCACGUCCUUGCCAACACAUCUUAUCUUCUGUGUUUUUGAUAGUAGUCAUUCUAAUAGGCAUGAAGUGAUAUCUCAUUGUGGUUUUAAUUUGCAUUUCCCUGAUGAUUUGUGAUGUUGAAUAUUUUUUUCAUAUACCUACUAGCCAUUUGUAUGUCUUCAUUUGAGAAAUUCUAUUCAAGUCGUCUGACCAGUUUUUAAUUAGGUUAUUUGCUUUCUUACUAUUGAGUUGUUUCAAUUCCUUAUAUAUUUUGGAUAUUAACCCCUUGUCAGAUGUUUGGUUUGCAAAUAUAUUUUCUCAUUCUGCAGGUUGUCUCCUUACUCUGUUCAUUAUUUUUGUAGUUAUGCAGAAGCUUUGUAGUUUGAUGUAAUCCCAGUUGUCCAAUUUUGCUUUUGUUGCUUGUCAUUUGGGGACAUACCCAUAAUUGAUCUUAGCCAAAAGGCUGAGAAGUGAUUUGGGUCAUAUUAAAAAAUAUCAUUGCCAAGACCAAUAUAAUGGAGUUUUUUUCUAGGUUUUCUUCUGGUAAGUUUAUAGUUUCAGGUCUUAUGUUUAAGUCUUUAAUCCAUUUUGAGUUGACUUUUUUACAAAGUGUGAGAUGAGGGUCUAGUUAAUUUUUUUUUUUUGUAAAUUGACAAAUUAUAGUUGUAUAUAUUUAUGGGGUACAAAGCAAUGUUUUGGUUUAUUAAUACAAUGUGGAAUAAUUAAAUCUAGGUUGAUAUUAAAUCAAUAAAAUUGACAUCCAUCACUUUAAAUACUUAUUUUUUUGUCAUGAAACAUUUGAAGUUUACUGUUUUAGUGAUUUUGAAUUGCACAGUACACUAGAAUUAACUAUAUACGUCAUGCUGAUGUAAUAGAUUUCAAAAAACAAACACUUAUUCCUCCUGUUCAACUGAGGCUUUGUACCUUUUGACAGUCAUCUCCCAUUCACCCAAACCCCUAGCCUCUGGUAGCCAUCAUUCUACUCUCUGCGUCUAUAAAUUUGAUUGCUUUAGAUUCCACAUAUAAGUGAGAACCUAUGGUAUUUGUCUUUGUGUGUCUGGCUUAUUCCACUUAGCACAGUGUUCUCCAGUUCCAUCCAUGUUGUUGCAGAUGACAAAAUCUCUUUCUUUUUAGUUUCCAUUAUUUUAUUUUAUUUUAUUUUAUUUUAUUUUAUUUUAUUUUAUUUUAUUUAUAUGUUUGUUAUGUUAUGUCAUGUUAUGUUAUGUUAUGUUUGUUAUGUUAUGUUAUGUUAUGUAUGUUAUGUUAUUUUUUGAGACAGGGUCUUCUUGUUCCUUUGCCCUGGCUGGAGUGCAGUGACAUGAUC